RNAcentral lists this long non-coding RNA (351 nucleotides) under Mustela putorius furo (domestic ferret). RNAcentral describes it as "lncRNA (ENSMPUG00000031736.1)". Lineage: Eukaryota; Metazoa; Chordata; Mammalia; Carnivora; Mustelidae. The record is from RNAcentral.
UCUAUGUAUAUGCACACAUUCCUAAAUAUCCACACGCCUAUCUAUCUAACCGGCAGUUCUAUUUUCAUUUAAGAGAAUGGAUCUUAGAAUGCAUUUCAUUCUGCAACUUCAAGGCUUACUGUUCUGAGGCCAAGCAUACAAAUGUGCAAAGCACUGGGGGACCGCAGAGGCCGUGUGGCUGGUGGAAGAAUGAGAUGGGCCUGGUGGUGGAGGGGACUGCGGAAUUUGCGCAGCAAUCCUGAAAGGACUGUGCUGCGCUCUCAUCUGGCCACGCCCCCACCCCACCCCAGUGGUCUCGAACUUGCCUGUCCAGUCCCUUCAGCAUCAGGAACCAGGGUGUGGCUCCACUGA